ACGCUCGACACCUACGGCAGCAGUCGGGAAUAUUGCGCAAUGGAGGAAACUCUGACGCAGUGACGCCGCGUAUAGGAAGAAGGUUUUCGGAUUGUAAACUAUUGUCGUUAGGGAAGAGAAAGGACAGUACCUAAGGAGGAAGCUCCGGCUAACUACGUGCCAGCAGCCGACGGUAAUCUGAGGCGGGCUGGACAAGGC
Molecule: ribosomal RNA, 198 nt
Filed under: uncultured bacterium
Lineage: Bacteria
Description: partial 16S ribosomal RNA
Rfam family: Bacterial small subunit ribosomal RNA
Source: RNAcentral